Molecule: long non-coding RNA, 1239 nt
Filed under: Capra hircus (goat)
Lineage: Eukaryota; Metazoa; Chordata; Mammalia; Artiodactyla; Bovidae
Description: lncRNA (ENSCHIG00010017467.1)
Source: RNAcentral
AGGGGGGAGGACAAGAUGUCUUAAAAUCUAGGAACCGCGCCGGGCGGAAAGGAGGGAAGAAUGUGAGCGCUGGCAGAGGGUAGUCGGGAAACAGCGUCAAAUCCCUAAUUUAAGAUAGAAUUGGGGUCUGCGACACCCUUCCCCUCCUCGGCUGUGGACAAGACUCGCUUUCGGGGACAGCAAGGGCGCAAGCCUGGGGAUCGCGGAGGUCCGCGGGCCUUGACCUUGUCUCCUCUUUCUACCUGCCAACGCCUUAGACGAUGCUUCUGUGCUUUAGAACCUAGAAAUCGAUGGGGGCGGGGAGCAGGGAGCAAGGCCGGCUGGAGAGGUGCCCCGAGCCCCCGGCGAGAGGAGCGCCAGACGCGCGCGCGGUUCGGGGAAGCGCUGUGCCCUCGGGGCCGCGACCAGGCCGGCUCUGCUGCAGGCGCGCGGCGGCGGCCAUGAGACUCGCGCAGGGCAGUUCAAACCACCCUUUCCCCCUCAGAGCCCAGGCGCGGCAUUUGGUGGGGUGGAGAAGGUUAUGACUGAAAAUAACCCGGGGCUCGGAUCCGUUUGGCUGGAGAUCUGAGCGCCAGCGCGGAGGUGGGGAGAGGCUGAGAAUCAGCGAGCGAAGAACUGCGGCCUCGCCUGUGGCGCGCUCAGGGCUCUGGCCCCCGCUGAUGAAUUUCUUCCCCAUCACCGAUUUCUCCUCACGGCGAAUGUCCCUGAAUCUCCCUGUGGCCGCUCCGUCAGGGCGCUCAGUGUGUCUGCGGACAAAAGUGGUGGGGGGCGAAAACCCAGCCCCGGUCUAUGGCAGUGCCACAGGGGGAACCCGACUUUCCAAAGUCUGUGCACUCAGGGUUCCCGGCACAGAAACGGGGUCUGAGGUCUGUUUCCGGCUCCAGUCUGUCCCUGCUUCACUCCUGGGCUCACUCCGCAAGGACGAUCUGGUUUAGACGGGACGGGGGCCACCCCCAACUGGCCCGGAGCUACCCGGAUUCUCACCCAGGCCCGCCCAGAAGAGCUUUCAGAAACUCGACCGCCAAGUUAAAAUCAGAGGCAGUUUUCUUCUGCUAUCUCUGGGCUGCAUGUGGGGUUAUGGCGCUGGACGACACGCCACACUUUGCUCAGGAACUGGUCAAAGAUGGAGAAGGCCCAGAGCGCCCUCUCAGCGAGUCUACUUUGGCACAGUAUCUGAGUCCCCUGCAGGGGCGCGCAAAGUGCCGCGCUCUGGUGGGAGAGGAGUGCUUGCCCAGAUAA